GAGCGAACGCUGGCGGCAGGCUUAACACAUGCAAGUCGAGCGGGCGUAGCAAUACGUCAGCGGCAGACGGGUGAGUAACGCGUGGGAACGUACCUUUUGGUUCGGAACAACACAGGGAAACUUGUGCUAAUACCGGAUAAGCCCUUACGGGGAAAGAUUUAUCGCCGAAAGAUCGGCCCGCGUCUGAUUAGCUAGUUGGUGAGGUAACGGCUCACCAAGGCGACGAUCAGUAGCUGGUCUGAGAGGAUGAUCAGCCACAUUGGGACUGAGACACGGCCCAAACUCCUACGGGAGGCAGCAGUGGGGAAUAUUGGACAAUGGGCGCAAGCCUGAUCCAGCCAUGCCNNNUGAGUGAUGAAGGCCCUAGGGUUGUAAAGCUCUUUUGUGCGGAAGAUAAUGACGGUA
This 405-nucleotide ribosomal RNA is filed under the name uncultured rape rhizosphere bacterium wr0055. Its description in RNAcentral is "bacterial SSU rRNA". It matches the Rfam family "Bacterial small subunit ribosomal RNA", at positions 27 to 458 of the family's 1533-position model. The record is from RNAcentral. RNAcentral also lists the same sequence under 1 other name.